This 771-nucleotide ribosomal RNA is filed under the name Bacillus sp. BAB-5801. RNAcentral describes it as "bacterial SSU rRNA". It matches the Rfam family "Bacterial small subunit ribosomal RNA", at positions 35 to 791 of the family's 1533-position model. The record is from RNAcentral. Lineage: Bacteria; Bacillati; Bacillota; Bacilli; Caryophanales; Bacillaceae.
GCUGGCGGCGUGCCUAAAUACAUGCAAGUCGAGCGGACAGAUGGGAGCUUGCUCCCUGAUGUUAGCGGCGGACGGGUGAGUAACACGUGGGUAACCUGCCUGUAAGACUGGGAUAACUCCGGGAAACCGGGGCUAAUACCGGAUGGUUUUUGAACCGCAUGGUUCAGACAUAAAAGGUGGCUUCGGCUACCACUUACAGAUGGACCCGCGGCGCAUUAGCUAGUUGGUGAGGUAACGGCUCACCAAGGCAACGAUGCGUAGCCGACCUGAGAGGGUGAUCGGCCACACUGGGACUGAGACACGCCAGACUCCUACGGGAGGCAGCAGUAGGGAAUCUUCCGCAAUGGACGAAAGUCUGACGGAGCAACGCCGCGUGAGUGAUGAAGGUUUUCGGAUCGUAAAGCUCUGUUGUUAGGGAAGAACAAGUGCCGUUCAAAUAGGGCGGCACCUUGACGGUACUAACCAGAAAGCCACGGCUAACUACGUGCCAGCAGCCGCGGUAAUACGUAGGUGGCAAGCGUUGUCCGGAAUUAUUGGGCGUAAAGGGCUCGCAGGCGGUUUCUUAAGUCUGAUGUGAAAGCCCCCGGCUCAACCGGGGAGGGUCAUUGGAAACUGGGGAACUUGAGUGCAGAAGAGGAGAGUGGAAUUCCACGUGUAGCGGUGAAAUGCGUAGAGAUGUGGAGGAACACCAGUGGCGAAGGCGACUCUCUGGUCUGUAACUGACGCUGAGGAGCGAAAGCGUUGUUUAGCUCCAGGAUUAGAUACCCUGGU